This 26-nucleotide non-coding RNA is filed under the name Mus musculus (house mouse). Lineage: Eukaryota; Metazoa; Chordata; Mammalia; Rodentia; Muridae. The record is from RNAcentral.
UGAGAUGAUAAAUAUUGAGCCAUUUU